CAGCCGCCGCGGUAAUACGAAGGGGGCUAGCGUUGUUCGGAAUUACUGGGCGUAAAGGGCGCGUAGGCGGCCAUUCAAGUUAGAUGUGAAAGCCCUGGGCUCAACCUAGGAAUUGCAUUUGAUACUGUUUGGCUUGAGUUCGGGAGAGGUGAGUGGAAUUCCCAGUGUAGAGGUGAAAUUCGUAGAUAUUGGGAAGAACACCAGUGGCGAAGGCGGCUCACUGGACCGACACUGACGCUGAGGCGCGAAAGCGUGGGGAGCAAACAGGAUUAGAUACCCCUGUAGUCCCUGUCUCUUAUAC
RNAcentral lists this ribosomal RNA (301 nucleotides) under uncultured bacterium. RNAcentral describes it as "partial 16S ribosomal RNA". It matches the Rfam family "Bacterial small subunit ribosomal RNA", at positions 509 to 807 of the family's 1533-position model. The record is from RNAcentral.